GCUGACGUCUGCGGAGGCUGCAUCGCACUAAAUGCUGUACGGUAACUUCAGAUGUCGCAUUGAUCGUGCAGAGCCUUUUUAUUGUCAACGUGUGAGUCAGCAAUGGACACUGGAAGUGAAGGAAUCUGCACUGUACAUAUCAAUUAGAUUUAAAUGAACAUUAACCCCUAAUUCUUCAUUUGUUGGGAAUGUUUUCUCUACCUCCGUAUUAUCCACAGGUUAACAGUCAACUUAUGCGACCUUCCGGUGACUCCCCUUCCACAACUGAACAAUGGACCAAGUUAUUUGCUAAAAAAGAAAGAAAGAUUAUUGAAAUCGUUCUGUUAGUUGUCAGUCUUGAGUCAUUAAUUUAAUAUUUUGAUAGUAUAGCACAGCAUGCCAUUGUGAUUUAGUGCUGAAUGUUUUAGUUUUAUGCAUUGAAUUUAUAUGUAGCCUAGCUACAGUAUGUAAGGUAAAAAGCUACAUUUAACAUUUAUGAAAUAUACCUCUGAACAAAAAUAUAAACCCAACAUGCAACAAUUUCAAAGAUUUUACUGAGUUACAGUUCAUAUAAGGAAAUCAGUCAAUUGAAAUAAAUUCAUAAGGCACUAAUCUAUGGAUUUCACAUGACUGGAAUACAAAUGCAUCUGUUGGUCACCGAUACCUUAAAAAAAGGUAGGGGCGUGGUUCAGAAAACCAGUCAGUAUCUGUUGUGACCACCAUUUGCAUCAUGCAGCACAACACAUCUCCUUCACAGAGUUGAUCGGGCUGUUGAUUGUGGCCUGUGUAAAUGUUGUCCCACUCUACUUCAAUGGCUGUGCAAAGUUGCUGGAUAUUGUCGGGAACUGGAACGAUAAAAUGCAAUUGUGUUCGUUGUCCGUAGUUUAUGCCUGCCCAUACCAUAACCCCACUGCCAACAUGGGGCAUUCUGUGACAUCCACAAACUGCUCGCCCCUUUCAAUGCCAUCUUUCUGGUACAUUUGAAACCAAGAUUCCUCUGAAGAACACACUUCUCCAGCAUGCUAGUGGCCAUCAAAGGUGAGCAUUUGCCCGCUGAAGUUGGUCACGGUGCCGAACUGCAGUCAGGUCAAGACGCUGGUGUGGACGACGAGCACACAGAUAAGCUUCCCUGAGACGGUUCAGACAGUUGGUGCAGAAACUCUUUGGUUGUGCAAACCCACAGUUUCAUCAGCUGUCCGGGUGGCUGGUCUCAGAUAAUUCCGCAAGUGAAGAAGCCGGAUGUCGAUGUCCUGGGCUGGCGUGGUUACACGUGGUAUGCAGUUGUGAGGCCGGUUGGACCUACUGCCAAAUUGUCUAAAACCACGUUGGAGGCAGCUUAUGGUAGAGAAAUGAACAUUCAAUUAUCUGGCAACAGCUCUGGUGGACAUUCCUACAGUUAGCAUGCCAAUGGCACCCUCCCUCAAAACUUGAG
RNAcentral lists this long non-coding RNA (1411 nucleotides) under Salmo salar (Atlantic salmon). RNAcentral describes it as "lncRNA (ENSSSAG00000096076.1)". Lineage: Eukaryota; Metazoa; Chordata; Actinopteri; Salmoniformes; Salmonidae. The record is from RNAcentral.